GACGAACGCUGGCGGCGUGCUUAACACAUGCAAGUCGAACGGAAAGGCCCUGCUUUUGUGGGGUGCUCGAGUGGCGAACGGGUGAGUAACACGUGAGUAACCUGCCCUUGACUUUGGGAUAACUUCAGGAAACUGGGGCUAAUACCGGAUAGGAGCUCCUGCUGCAUGGUGGGGGUUGGAAAGUUUCGGCGGUUGGGGAUGGACUCGCGGCUUAUCAGCUUGUUGGUGGGGUAGUGGCUUACCAAGGCUUUGACGGGUAGCCGGCCUGAGAGGGUGACCGGCCACAUUGGGACUGAGACACGGCCCAGACUCCUACGGGAGGCAGCAGUGGGGAAUAUUGCACAAUGGGCGGAAGCCUGAUGCAGCAACGCCGCGUGCGGGAUGACGGCCUUCGGGUUGUAAACCGCUUUCGCCUGUGACGAAGCGUGAGUGACGGUAAUGGGUAAAGAAGCACCGGCUAACUACGCG
Molecule: ribosomal RNA, 468 nt
Filed under: uncultured bacterium
Lineage: Bacteria
Description: partial 16S ribosomal RNA
Rfam family: Bacterial small subunit ribosomal RNA
Source: RNAcentral